CCCCCAGCAGCCCCAGGUGGUAGCCUCCGGGGCCUGAUUAUUAUGGGGGGCAGAAGCGGCACCCUACCCAGCUGAGAAGAAGGUCAAGCCAUCUCCUAGGUGUGAAUGGCGCUAUGCAAGAAGAAAGUGAAUGUGGAAAUUAGUCAGAGCCCAUCUGCCCAAGAACAACAAGAAUCUCUCUAUGAGAAGUCAGUCAUCAGGCUGGAAGGACGGCAGCGUCCUCCCUCCUGGCUUCCUUCUGCCUGGG
Molecule: long non-coding RNA, 247 nt
Filed under: Homo sapiens (human)
Lineage: Eukaryota; Metazoa; Chordata; Mammalia; Primates; Hominidae
Description: HSALNT0065561
Source: RNAcentral